Molecule: ribosomal RNA, 253 nt
Filed under: uncultured bacterium
Lineage: Bacteria
Description: partial 16S ribosomal RNA
Rfam family: Bacterial small subunit ribosomal RNA
Source: RNAcentral
UACGUAGGGGGCGAGCGUUGUCCGGAUUUAUUGGGCGUAAAGCGCACGUAGGCGGUCAGGCAAGUCGGGUGUGAAAGCCCUGGGCUCAACCUGGGAAUUGCAUUCGAAACUAUCUGACUCGAGUAUGGGAGAGGGAAGCGGAAUUUCCGGUGUAGCGGUGAAAUGCGUAGAUAUCGGAAGGAACACCAGUGGCGAAGGCGGCUUCCUGGACUAAUACUGACGCUGAGGUGCGAAAGCCAGGGGAGCAAACGGG